AUGUUUGGUAGGGGCAAGGAUUAGGUUUAAUGGGAUUAGAUCCGACUCGCACGGAUUAAACCCUUCGCUAGCAGUUCUUAGCGAACCACCCAAAAAACGUCCGGAUUCGUAAGACCUCCUCCCUCACGUCGUCCUCCUCAUCCUCAUCUCUGCGUCCUGCUCGCCGUCAGCUGCAUCCUGGUCGCCCUCAUCUGCAUCCUGCUCCUCAUCUGUUCCUCUCGUCGUCCGCUCCCUCGUCUUCACGUAACAGAUCUGCUCGCCCUCAUCUGCCUCCAGUUGUCUGCUUGCUGUUGCUCUGGCCUUCGAUUAAUGGUUGAUUCUUGUGAAGAAGAGAGGAGCAUAAACGGAAGGCUAAGGCUAAGGCUACUGCAUUACAGGUGUCCUUUAAUUUCCCUUUUCACAUGCAAUGCCUAG
Molecule: small RNA, 414 nt
Filed under: Malus domestica (apple)
Lineage: Eukaryota; Viridiplantae; Streptophyta; Magnoliopsida; Rosales; Rosaceae
Description: sRNA MD02G0077700
Source: RNAcentral